CAGCAAGCUGGAAACUCAGGGAGGAUUUCUCUGUUACAGUGCUGAGGCAGAAUUUCUUUUCCACAAGAAAGCUAUUUUUGCUUUUAUGGACUUCAUCUUAUUGGAUGAGGCCAACCCACAUUAAAGAGGGUAAUCUCUCUUGUUUAAGGUCAACUGAAUGAAAAAGUUAAUCAUAUCUACAAAAUGCCCUCACAGCAACAUCUAGACUAGUGUUUGACUAAACAACUGUGCACCAUAGCUUAGCCCAGUUGACACAUAAAAUCAACCAUCACAGAAAUAUUGAAGCCAAAGAAGAGGAAAGAAUGUGAAAGGAGUACGGGAAAUCUCCUUGCCCUUGUUCCACAAUUAAAGAGAAGUUAGUCAACUGUGGGGUAACUUUUACAGUCACCCUGGAUUGGGACAUUGAAGGGAACUGAUCUGAAUUAUAAUUAAGGUUUUGCUCCAGAAAACACUCAGCCAAGAGCUGUGGACUCAGGAAACCACGCUUCUUCUUUUCAUCAAUCUCAAAGGAACGUUCUCUUUCUGUAAUUGGUGCCGCCCAGAGAAUUCUCCAGUGUGUAUGGACUGCCUCUGGCCAAGGCUUCCCGGCUGCAUGUGAGGGACGGGAACAGGAGUGCUGUGGCUGUGCCUGGACCCACACUCAUUAAUCAUCCUAAUGAAGUAGAGCCAGUCAUCUUUGUCAAAUCAUUGGUCAAUCAACUAACUGCAAAAUAUCAGAACAAGGUCUUGGAUGGAGUUGAUCAUAUUUUGGACUCGAGGUUGGUGGACAAUGAGAACUGCAUAGUUGCUCGCCAUCCUUCAAUUCAGGAUCCACUUAAGCUUCAGGAGAAAGAGGAGAGGAUGCAAGAAGAAUGGAAGAGAAAGAGAAGGACAAGGAAGUGUGGAGAAGUAGCUUUCUUGCCUAUAUGAAUAAGCAAAAUUAAAGAUGCUACAAGAAUUGGAGCCCUGCCUAGCUCCAACCUCAAAUCCUAUCUAAAAUGGUUCCCACCUGCACCCCCAAAUCCUCCACUUUGACUGGAUUACUGAGCCCACUCACCCAUUGCCUGAUCUGGCCAAUAUUGGUUAAAAUCAAGAAUGCUUCAUCCCAAAUAUAAAUUUGUUCAUCCUUUGAAUAAAAUCAUUCUCAUUCAUUAAAUUCAGUCGGUUACGGUAGCCUUCCCAGUGUCUUCAGCUUUCCUUCCCAUGGAUGAUGGUUGCUGGUCUUUAAAAUAACAAUUAAAAGCACUCAGGUCCUGUUAUUUUGGCCCUUAGCAACAGUCAUCCCCUAGUUUCUUUAAGGGUGGGAAAGGCCAGGAAAAGGAGAAGAGAAAGUAGAAACCUGCUGGGCAUUAUUCUAAUCAGCGUUCUCCGUUUGGCAGCCAGCACAGACCAGCUCCUGUUUUGCAGAACAGUUAUCCCCAGGGCACUGGAGAGGAGAAUAGUGAGGCAGAGCAGGUGCUGGGCUUUCCCUGCUCACCAUUCAGGAAGGUUUUCAUUGCUUUGGGCCAGAAAGUCGGUAGGCUACCAGUGGAACUCUGAACUUGUUACAGGGCAUGCUCCAGUAGUAAAGUCAAUGAGCUCGCAGUGCCUCCAGACCAGGCUGAGGGUAGCAAUCUGAGAAAAGGCUCAGGGGGACAAAGUCAUCUUGGUUUGGAGAAUAGAAUGGCUGUUUAGUCAGAGAGCUGGGCUGGGAGAC
Equus caballus (horse) is the source of this 1675-nucleotide long non-coding RNA. The record is from Ensembl. Lineage: Eukaryota; Metazoa; Chordata; Mammalia; Perissodactyla; Equidae.